AUAUCUGGAACACAUUACGAUAUCUUAUGCACAUUAACGUGUAAUGUACAUAAACAAUAAGAGGAUAAUCUCUCUUUGUGGAUUAUGCGCAGAAAUGCAACUGGUGUGAUAGGCGACGAAAAAUUAAAUAUCGAUAUGACAAUAUUUACAUUGUCUAUAAAAUGGAAUGCAAGAUGUCCAAAAGAUUCGCACCAAGCAUUCGAAGAAGAUGUGUUCUCGAAGAUCCGGCCAAUCGCAAAAAAUAUAUGAUUGCAAAUUAACACAAGCACAAACACUUUUUUUCUUCAUAUUUUUAUUUAAAACUGAAUUCAAGGAAACAAACCAAGUUAGGAGAAAAGAAAUUUAAAAACUACGAUUUUUCUCUGUCAUAUCUCUCCAAUUUGAGGAAACAUUCAGGACGUCCGGAAAGGAACGUGUCCUGGAAAUCCGGAAAAGAUCCAGUCAUCCUGUCAAGUUCAAUAGCUGGGGCAAACACAACGUUUGGAUUUGCACUUACCCCGGAAU
Molecule: non-coding RNA, 504 nt
Organism: Linepithema humile (Argentine ant)
Lineage: Eukaryota; Metazoa; Arthropoda; Insecta; Hymenoptera; Formicidae
Source: RefSeq, a predicted model, not a curated record